UCCUGCCUGCCCAGUGAUAGAUUUUAACGGCCGCGGUAUCAUGACCGUGCAAAGGUAGCGUAAUCACUUGUCUUUUAAAUAAAGACCUGUAUGAAAGGCAAAACGAAAAUUCAACUGUCUCUUUAAUCCAAUCAGUAAAAUUAAUCUCUCCGUGCAGAAGCGGAGAUAUUUUUAUAAGACGAGAAGACCCUAUGGAGCUUUAAACAUAAAAUUAACUCCACCCACACCCUUAACCAACAGGUAAAAAGUACAGAUAUGUAGCCAUAAUUUAAGUUUUCGGUUGGGGCGACCACGGAAGAAAGAAAAUCCUCCGCGAUAAACAGCUUAGAACAACACUUCAAAGACUAAAACAUUUGUUAUAAAUGACCCACUAAGUGAUCAACGAACCAAGUUACCCUAGGGAUAACAGCGCAAUCCUUUCUAAGAGUCCAUAUCGACGAAUGGGUUUACGACCUCGAUGUUGGAUCAGGACACCCAAAUGGUGCAGCCGCUAUUAAAGGUUCGUUUGUUCAACGAUUAAAGUCCUACGUGAUCUG
RNAcentral lists this ribosomal RNA (536 nucleotides) under Triturus marmoratus (marbled newt). RNAcentral describes it as "partial 16S ribosomal RNA". It matches the Rfam family "Bacterial large subunit ribosomal RNA", at positions 1853 to 2607 of the family's 2925-position model. Lineage: Eukaryota; Metazoa; Chordata; Amphibia; Caudata; Salamandridae. The record is from RNAcentral.